AUUACAGCCAAAUCUAUUUAAAAAAUUUAGAACAUUAAUUUUUCUCCUUUUUGAUAAUAUUCAAUGAGAACACUUAGAAUAAAACUUUUUCCAUGAAGGGAAAGUAAUAUCCAC
Heterocephalus glaber (naked mole-rat) is the source of this 114-nucleotide non-coding RNA. The record is from Rfam. NCBI's taxonomy places the organism in Eukaryota, Metazoa, Chordata, Mammalia, Rodentia, Bathyergidae.